UUUCCGUAGGUGAACCUGCGGAAGGAUCAUUACCGAAACGAUAUGCUUACAGCAAGCAUUGUGUUGGUCGUUGAAACACUGUGUCGGCAGAACGCAGUCGCAUUGUCCCAAAGGUGGAGAACCGAAAAAAUGUGGUGCAUGGUGACAUUAUUGUGUGGUGAACACAAAAACUCUAGCAAAACUGGCAUAACGUGCGCCGUCGCAUACAUGUUAUGCGGCGGUAAAUGAACGAGACAACCAAAAUUGCAUACUCGUUGAAACUUCGGGGUACCUUUCGGGUUGUCGAUUGACCGUAAUUGUCGGCAAAGCCCCCCGGUGAGCAGGUCGCGGGAGUUCCCCGCGACUUUGCGAAGGUUCAAAGAAUCGCUUUCGUUGCUGCUCCUCGUCGGUUCGCCGGCGUGCGGAUGCGGAGCGAUCGCCCCGAAGCCAUGUUUUUUGUCUUUCGUACGGUUGCUAUCCGACGCCUGCCGUUCGACGGAGACCGCCCCGGUCGUCUGGGGUGGACGAAGUCGUGCCGGUACGGCGCUGCCACAGUGUGAUAACGUUAUACAACUCUAAGCGGUGGAUCACUCGGCUCGUGUGUCGAUGAAGAGCGCAGCCAGCUGCGUGAAGUAAUGUGAAUUGCAGGACACAUUGAACAUCGAUAUCUUGAACGCACAUUGCGGCCUCGGGUAUUCCCGAGGCCACGCCUGUCUCAGGGUCGGUUGAACUUAUCUAUCGUCGGUUGACCGUAACUGCCGACGCAUUGGAUUGUCGCGGAGCGCUGACCGAAAAGGCGCGAUCGGCUGACCUCAAUUACCGAUCGUGCUGCGCGCCACGUCGUCCGAAGUACAGACGGGUCUGCCUAUGCUUUGCCGACCGCACGUCCUAAAUCCGCCCUUGCGGACGGGGACGGCGACUCGGACCGUAAGAGAAGCCGUCGCCUGUUGCUCUGGCGGUACGGUUGGCUCAGCGGUGGCGGACCCACGAACGAGAAGACGUGCUGUAGGCGGCGAAGCGAUUCGUCGUCGUCGGCCGUCAUCUUCUUCUUCGACCUGAGAUCAGACGAGAUUACCCGCUGAAUUUAA
RNAcentral lists this ribosomal RNA (1067 nucleotides) under Tubificoides pseudogaster. RNAcentral's name for it is "eukaryotic LSU rRNA". The stretch from base 551 to 703 matches the Rfam family "5.8S ribosomal RNA". Lineage: Eukaryota; Metazoa; Annelida; Clitellata; Tubificida; Naididae. The record is from RNAcentral.